UCUCUUUCUUCUUCCUGCUUCUUCUAUCAGUAGCAGUAGUAAUAGAGGCUGUGACUUUCUGUGGUUCACAGUGUUCUGUGUGAACAUUGUUUCCUUGUAUCAUAUAUGAUAAACAUCACUGAUUCUGUUUUUCUGAAUGAAGAAUUUGAAAGGAGAGUAGGUCAUAAUUUGUUUACAAUCUUGGAGCUGGUAAGGGUUGGAAUUGGAAUCAAACUUUGGAAUAUUCUGGAACUUUCCAAACGUUGGUGUUCUGCUUCAGAGUUCAGUCAUGAACUCCAGCAUCUGAGGCUUGGUUAGCAGUUACUCUUGCUUGAAUGUGGUUGUGACUCUUAAUAGUUUAUGGUUUGGAAGCUUGGUCUAUGGUAUAGUGAUGCUGAGGUUAGAGGAGGUUUAGGAGAGGAAACGUAAAGUAAGAUAAUUAGGUCAUUGAAGUUAUUUCUCCUGAAAGGAAUGUUUAUUCUUUGGGAGGAAUACUGCUUACUUAAUUAAAGUGUUGUUACAAAAGAGAAUGACUGAUGCCUGCACUGCUUUGAUUUCUUGUCUUACCAGGUGUUUCUGUCAUUGUGACUCAUCUUCUGUGGGCUCCUUAUGAGAACUGAGAGUAGACUGCCUGCUUGAUGCUCCUGGAUUUUCAAAAGACCGGAGAUGAGAAUAUUGAUUGUUCACUGCCAUGUUUAUUCUGUCUGAAUCUGAGAAGUGCCACAGUUUAAAGUUCCCAUAAGUGAAUAUUUAUUGAAUAAAACCCACUGGAUGA
This is a non-coding RNA of Rattus norvegicus (Norway rat), 754 nucleotides long. NCBI's taxonomy places the organism in Eukaryota, Metazoa, Chordata, Mammalia, Rodentia, Muridae. The record is from RefSeq and is a predicted model, not a curated record.